CAGUAAAUUGGGUUGUCGCUCAAAGCAGCACGCCCUCCACAUACACACACCUUGUGCACCUUAUAUCUAUUACAGCCUGUCUCUAAUGCAUGUCUUGAUCAUUCUAUGGAAUACAAUA
Molecule: unclassified non-coding RNA, 118 nt
Filed under: uncultured Clavariadelphus
Lineage: Eukaryota; Fungi; Basidiomycota; Agaricomycetes; Gomphales; Gomphaceae
Description: sequence contains ITS1
Source: RNAcentral